CCUACGGGAGGCAGCAGUGAGGAAUAUUGGUCAAUGGACGAGAGUCUGAACCAGCCAAGUAGCGUGAAGGAUGACUGCCCUAGGGGUUGUAAACUUCUUUUAUAUGGGAAUAAAAUGUUCCACGUGUGGGAUUUUGUAUGUACCAUAUGCAUAAGGAUCGGCUAACUCCGUGCCAGCAGCCGCGGUAAUACGGAGGAUCCGAGCGUUAUCCGGAUUGAUUGGGUUUAAAGGGAGCGUAGGUGGAUUGUUAAGUCAGUUGUGAAAGUUUGCGGCUUAACCGUAAAAUUGCAGUGGAAACUGGCAGGCUGGAGUACAGUAGAGGUAGGCGGAAUUCGUGGUGUAGCGGUGAAAUGCUUAGAUAUCACGAAGAACUCCGAUUGCGAAGGCAGCUUACUGGACUGUAACUGACACUGAGGCUCGAAAGCGUGGGGAGCAAACAGGAUUAGAUACCCUAGUAGUC
Molecule: ribosomal RNA, 460 nt
Filed under: uncultured bacterium
Lineage: Bacteria
Description: partial 16S ribosomal RNA
Rfam family: Bacterial small subunit ribosomal RNA
Source: RNAcentral